GGGAAGGUGGCUCAGGGGUAGAGCACUUGCCUUGCAUGCAUGAGGCCCUGGGUUCGAUUCCCUAGUGCCA
Dipodomys ordii (Ord's kangaroo rat) is the source of this 70-nucleotide non-coding RNA. The record is from Rfam. Lineage: Eukaryota; Metazoa; Chordata; Mammalia; Rodentia; Heteromyidae.